This is a long non-coding RNA of Gadus macrocephalus (Pacific cod), 546 nucleotides long. RefSeq lists it as uncharacterized. The transcript is spliced from 2 exons. The record is from RefSeq and is a predicted model, not a curated record. Lineage: Eukaryota; Metazoa; Chordata; Actinopteri; Gadiformes; Gadidae.
GUUGCGUUGCCUCACAUAACAUAAUGAAUUAGUGGAUAAAAACGUCAGAAAUGCUGGCGUUAACUUCCCUAUGUGAUGCGACGCGUCACAUGGCUUUAAAAACUCGCUGGAUCUCCAUUGUAACUCUGUCCGUCUGCUUUUCUGUGCAUAUGCUCUUUCAAAUAAAUGCAGACAUAAGACACUCCCCUCAACAUAUCAAAACAUUGCCAUAGGAUAGGAUAGGAUAGGAUUUUAUUUGUUGUCAUUGCACAUACACACAGGUACACACAGGUGCAACGCCAAACCACUCCCCAGGGAAACAUAAGGCAUGCCAUAGGGAACAACGAAACCAACUUACUUAGGAACCAAUAUUUGGUGGAGUUCACAUAAAAAAAGGUAUGAACAAUGAUAAAAAAUAAAACAAAAUCAAAUUAAAUUUAGCUCGGCUACACACACACACACACACACACACACACACACACACACACACACACACACACACACACACACACACACACACACACACACACACACACACACCAAAAUACUAAAUUACAACAAAAACAA